UGGGCAACCUGCCCCUAGCUCUGGGCUAACUGCGGGAAACUGUAGCUAAUACCGGAUGUGACACGAGACUGCAUGGUCUUCGUGUGGAAAGAUUUAUCGGCUAGGGAUGGGCCCGCGGUCUAUCAGCUUGUUGGUGGGGUAAUGGCUCACCAAGGCGACGACGGAUAACCGGCCUGAGAGGGCGACCGGUCACACUGGGACUGAGACACGGCCCAGACUCCUACGGGAGGNA
This 232-nucleotide ribosomal RNA is filed under the name uncultured bacterium. RNAcentral's name for it is "partial 16S ribosomal RNA". It matches the Rfam family "Bacterial small subunit ribosomal RNA", at positions 118 to 350 of the family's 1533-position model. The record is from RNAcentral.